AUAAAUACAUAAUCCAUUAUAUCGGAAAUUAGACAUAACUUUGAAAUUAAUAAUACAUAAUUUUUAUAUCGGAAAUUGAAUACCGAAAUAUAAAACAGUUGUAAAGUUAAACAACAUGUUGGAUUUUGAGAAGGGAAUUGGGCAGAAGAGUCUUUUGAUCAAGUUAAACAAGUGGGUUUUUGGAGCUCUGGUUUUUAAAACAAACAGCAGGCUG
This 214-nucleotide long non-coding RNA is filed under the name Panax ginseng (ginseng). Its description in RNAcentral is "long non-coding RNA (PGIN_LNC007767)". Lineage: Eukaryota; Viridiplantae; Streptophyta; Magnoliopsida; Apiales; Araliaceae. The record is from RNAcentral.